GAACUAUUGUGUAACCAAAUGAUUUCCACUCUGGCUGCAUGUUAGAAUCACCUGGUACGCUUCUGAAAAAUGCUGAUGCCCCACUUGAGAGUAAUUGAAUCAGAAACUCUGGGGAGAAGCCCAGGCAUUGGUAUUUAUUUGUAAUUUCCCAGGUGAUUCUGGUGCACAAUGAGACUGUGAAUGACUCAUCUCUCCAGGCAGGUGGAAUGAUUUACCCAGGAUCCCACCAGGCUGGGGCGGGGCCGGGGAAGAGAAUAGAGGCAAGGAAGGGAGGGAGAGGACCAUUCUCUACACAAGGCAGAGACAGAAGAUACAUGAUGAGGAAGUGGUUGGUGGUGCCAAGCCACUGAAGGUCAAAGGGCGCUUGGUGUUGCCUUCUAAAGGAUAUUUUCUUGAAUCCAAGAUUCCAAUCAGAAGUCCAGAACCUGCUGCAAGAAGGAGGAGAAGGCUUGAAACUGGGAUAAACAGAAGGAGGAAAAG
This 480-nucleotide long non-coding RNA is filed under the name Homo sapiens (human). RNAcentral describes it as "non-protein coding lnc-HRH4-15:1". Lineage: Eukaryota; Metazoa; Chordata; Mammalia; Primates; Hominidae. The record is from RNAcentral.